GAGUUUGAUCUUGGCUCAGAACGAACGCUUGCUGCAUGCUUUAUACAUGCAAGUCGAACGAAGGCCCUAGCUUGCUAGGUGUCCUUAGUGGCGCACGGGUGAGUAACACGUGGGAACAUACCUCAUAGUACGGAAUAACUGCGGGAAACUGUAGCUAAUACCGUAUAUUCCAGAAAUGGGAAAGAUUUAUCGCUAUGAGAUUGGCCCGCGCAAGAUUAGCUUGUUGGUAAGGUAACGGCUUACCAAGGCUCCGAUCUUUAGCUGGUUUGAGAGGAUGAUCAGCCACACUGGGACUGAGACACGGCCCAGACUCCUACGGGAGGCAGCAGUAGGGAAUAUUGGACAAUGGGGGAAACCCUGAUCCAGCAAUGCAGCGUGAGUGACGAAGGCCUUAGGGUUGUAAAACUCUUUCAUCGGUGAGGAUAAUGACAGUAGCCGAAGAAGAAGGACCGGCUAAUUCCGUGCCAGCAGCCGCGGUAAUACGGAAGGUCCUAGCGUUGUUCGGAAUUACUGGGCGUAAAGCGCAUGUAGGCGGAACAAAAAGUUAGAAGUGAAAUCCCUGGGCUCAACCUAGGAAUUGCUUUUAAAACUUUUGUUCUGGAAUUCAGGAGAGGAAAAUGGAAUUUCCAGUGUAGAGGUGAAAUUCGUAGAUAUUGGAAGGAACACCAGUGGCGAAGGCGAUUUUCUGGACUGAUAUUGACGCUGAGAUGCGAAGGCAUGGGUAGCAAACGGGAUUAGAUACCCCGGUAGUCCAUGCAGUAAACGAUGGGUGCUAGUCGUCGGACUUUUGUUCGGUGUCGUAGCUAACGCGUUAAGCACCCCGCCUGGGGGAGUACGGUCGCAAGAUUAAAACUCAAAUAAAUUGACGGGGACCCGCACAAGCAGUGGAGCAUGGUGGUUUAAUUCGACGCAACGCGAAGAACCUUACCAGCGUU
Molecule: ribosomal RNA, 935 nt
Filed under: uncultured bacterium
Lineage: Bacteria
Description: bacterial SSU rRNA
Rfam family: Bacterial small subunit ribosomal RNA
Source: RNAcentral